CAGGAUGAACGCUGGCGGUCUGCUUAACACAUGCAAGUCGAACGCAACCUUCGGGUUGAGUGGCGGACGGGUGAGUAACGCGUGAGAAUCUGCCUUGGGGUCGGGGACAACCACUGGAAACGGUGGCUAAUACCGGAUAAGCCUUUGGGUAAAAGAUUUAUUGCCCCAAGAGGAGCUCGCGUCUGAUUAGCUAGUUGGUGAGGUAAAAGCUCACCAAGGCAGCGAUCAGUAGCUGGUCUGAGAGGACGAUCAGCCACACUGGGACUGAGACACGGCCCAGACUCCUACGGGAGGCAGCAGUGGGGAAUUUUCCGCAAUGGGCGAAAGCCUGACGGAGCAAGACCGCGUGAGGGAGGAAGGCUCUUGGGUUGUAAACCUCUUUUCUCAGGGAAGAAGCUCUGACGGUACCUGAGGAAUCAGCCUCGGCUAACUCCGUGCCAGCAGCCGCGGUAAUACGGAGGAGGCAAGCGUUAUCCGGAAUUAUUGGGCGUAAAGCGUCCGCAGGUGGCGAUUCAAGUCUGCUGUCAAAGCACGGGGCUUAACUCCGUUAAGGCAGUGGAAACUGAAUAGCUAGAGUGCCGUAGGGGUAGAGGGAAUUCCCGGUGUAGCGGUGAAAUGCGUAGAGAUCGGGAAGAACAUCGGUGGCGAAAGCGCUCUACUGGACGGCAACUGACACUCAGGGACGAAAGCUAGGGGAGCGAAUGGGAUUAGAUACCCCAGUAGUCCUAGCUGUAAACGAUGGAUACUAGGUGUAGCUUGUAUCGACCCGAGCUGUGCCGAAGCUAACGCGUUAAGUAUCCCGNCUGGGGAGUACGCACGCAAGUGUG
Molecule: ribosomal RNA, 827 nt
Filed under: uncultured organism
Description: bacterial SSU rRNA
Rfam family: Bacterial small subunit ribosomal RNA
Source: RNAcentral